RNAcentral lists this unclassified non-coding RNA (4048 nucleotides) under Leishmania donovani. RNAcentral describes it as "gene:LdHU3.36.1960(CDS-product:Kelch_motif/Galact ose_oxidase_central_domain_containing_protein_putative)". The record is from RNAcentral. Lineage: Eukaryota; Euglenozoa; Kinetoplastea; Trypanosomatida; Trypanosomatidae.
CUGAGUGCAGCAGGCGACGGCGCUGAGCGUGUGACCGCCACCUCACAGCUGACUCCCUCCUUUGCGCUUGUGGCUCUGGCUGAUUCAGGUGCGCCGGGUUGUGAUCCAACACGCCCCCCCCCCCCCUCCCACCGCCCCCUUUAUCACUGGCUAUUAUCCUGUCCUCUGACCGCCGUGCAACAUGUCCACGAGCCUCAGGCCAUCCGCGCCGCUUGCAGCGCUGCCUUCAUCGAACCUUGCUGCCUCGACGCCGCACCCGAGGAAUGGCAAUGCCACGGCAUCUCCGGCGCUGACAAUGCUCCCCACUCUUAGCCUGGAUAACGCCCUAAAAAGAACCACCGAUGACCAGGGUCGUCAGCGCGACGGCGCCGGCGCGCCGGACAACAAUACGUCGUCUGCUCACCGGCGCUCUCUCAUCGGCGUGCGCGGAAGUGUGCUUCCGGAAAAAAAAGGCGGUCUGCCCAAGACGGGCCACAUCGGCGUGUGCUACCACCAAAACGUGUACGUCUUCGGUGGGGUAAACAGCAAAGGGCAAUUCAGCAACCACGUCUUUUGCUACGAGAAGCGAACACUGCAAUGGCGCGAGAUUCGCGGUGUCGGCGUUGUGCCGCGUGGUCGUGCCAACCACGCCGCUGUUCUGAUUGGCAACAAAAUUUACAUCCACGGUGGCCACCGCCACCUCGAGGUGUUCGACGACUUCUUCGCCUACGAGAUCGAGACAGGUCGGUGGGAGAAGAUCGGCUGUGAGCGGUCGCAGGGGCCGGGACCCAUAUUUUUGCAUAGUAUGGUAUACAUCCCCCCCUUAGACAGUCUCCUUGUCCUGGGCGGCAUUCAUCAACGCGAGCAAAACAACUGCCUCGGGCACUUAUUCGAUGUUCGCAACCGCGUCUGGACCGGUGUGCCACCGCCGUCCUCUGUCGACGCCCAGCAUCUGCAAAUGGUGACGGCCGCCUAUCAUGCCCCUUCCGCGGUGGUGGUGGUUCUGGGCUUGAUGGAUGCGGACGUAAUGCAAGAGGGCGCCGUCACCACGCCACACGUGCACGUGUUCCAGCCAGCAACAUUUGUGUGGCGGCGGGUGGACACAAGCACUGCACCAAUGAGCCCGCUACCGUUUCGCAUGGAGGCGAUGUGGGAGUCGCUGUUGCAUUUCCUCAUCCCCGGCGGCGGCGGCGUGUAUGACCCGCUCCUGGAGAACUGGAUGUUUCCUCUUCCGUCGACCGAGACGGAUAGCGUUGGCGACGACGGUGCGGUGGAUCAGAGCCCCUCCACGCCGGGUUUCGGGCUGCCUCCCCUGCCGCUAAACAAGUACGGCUUUCUCGUACUGGAUCUAAGAAGCAUGUCGUGGUCGCUGGUGCCGUGCAACCUGUCGCGCAAAUUGGUAGCAGAGCUGAAUGCAGUAAACCGGGUGACGCGGGAGAAGAUGGAGCGACUUGUUCUGCGCAACAAUGCGGCCGCUGCUGCCAUCGCCUUGUCCGGGAACUCUUCGCAGAGCAAGUCGGCUGUGCAGCAGCCUGCAGAUAGCGGCGCUCUCUUGGGCAUUUCCAGCGCGUCCUUGACCCACGGCCCCAGCGGGGUCGCGUCCAGGCAUUCGUCGGUGUUCCGACAUCAGUCGUCGCAGUGGCCGCGAAACGAGUCCUCCUCCACAAAUGUGCCGUGGCCUCGCGCGACUGGAAGUCGUGCCGCCAUGGCUUCCGGCUCCAACGACGGCAAGAUGGCCGCCCUCCUCAGUUCGUCGCGUUACCGCCGCCUCUUCUUCUUCGAUGACGCACCCGAGUUCAUGCGCAAGUACACGCUCGUGGUGGUACGCGAUGAACCGACCAAAUCGGGAAAGCUACGACCUCUGCAGUAUGUCGUCUUACACGGUGGACUGACGGAGCCGAUGGACUACGCGAUGCUUAUGUUUGCACCGAUUCUUACUCGGCCGCACUCAAAUGCGGCAACGCCUACAGGCAGAGCGGGGCUGAUGGCGCGCUCGAAUUCGCUUCGCGGACGGGCCGCUGCAAGUGUGGGAAGUCGACGCGGAUCGGCGUACACCCAGAGCCGCAGUGAAGAAGACGGCGGCUACGGGGACGAUAGUUUUGACGACGUCACGUCGCUUCUGAGCAGCGGCACCUUGAUCGCGGCGUACUCGACGCAGAGUAACCAUCGCAGGACAGCGCCGCACACACCGCUGAGGGAUGCGGAAGCCCUGGCGCACUUGCGCGGCGGCAGGUACAGUGAUGAUGACGAGUACGACACCAAUGUGCACGAGCGGAUGGACAACGGCGGUGCGGCGCACAAGUCAUUUCUGCUUCCGACUCUGCAGAGCGGGCGCACGCGGCGCAAUUAUUACCGCUUCGCCCUCCAGUUUACGCCGGGAAAUAGCAUACAGAAGGAGUCACUGCUGCCGUACGCGAACAUACCUGUUGCGGUCUUGCAAACGCCGAAGGAUGUGCAGAAGUGGUCGCGCAACUACUACACCGAUCAGCGGCGGUGGCUCUCGGAGCGAAUUAAGGAGGCCAUGAUCGAGGACCGAAAGCUGAGGCGUCUUCGGCAGCUCAACAAGGCUCAAGUGGCGACGGCGUCUGGUGCCCAAGGUAACGCAGCCUGGGCUGGCUCGGCAGGGCGCGACGACAGCAGCAACAGCGAAUCGGAAUUCAUGGAUGGUCUCUACCUGGCGGAGACCUUCAUCGGCGACCCUCGCACGCAUGGCGGCGCCAAGGUGUCCAGCUUGCUUGCCUACGAGGAUCAGCUGGCGCUCGACGCUGCUGAUGCCGCAUUGACGCAGGCGGGGGCCCCAAAGAGACGGCUGCGCGACUUUUUCGAGCAGCACGGGCUCGACGCCUUCGAAGAGGCGGAUAUACAGCAACAGCACGAAAGGAUGCAGUUGCGCACGGCGCUCGCCGGCAGAGGUGCGAAGCACGAUCGACGGCGGAAGGACGCAAGGCUGAAAGAGAGGGCUGUCGUUGCCGAAGGUGCGAACGCGAAGGCAGCCAAGCGGUCGGAGACGUCACCGCUGGUAAAAAAAUCUUCCGUCUCCGACGGUUCCAUGCCUUUAGCGUCUGAAGUGCAGAUGACCGACUCAGGCUUUGAGCGAUUGCGCAUGAAGGGCUGGCAGGACGUGGGCAGAGAGCGAAUGGCAGCUGCCGUCCUUCAUGGCUCCUUCAUCAACGGGCUGGCCGGGGGAACCACAGGCAGUGAGCUGGAUUUUAGGAAGCUUGCUGCCUAUGCUUUGCUGAGAAGGGCAAUAGCACGUCUCCGAGCAGAUGGCAAUCCCUACGAGAUGCGCCGGCGCCGAGCGCAGCUCCGUUGGCGCUAUCUCCGUACUCUCGUGUGCACCGGCGAGGCGGCCUACCUGCUCUACCUUGCAAGUCAAGCAGAUUUCAAGAUGAGGGGCAUCAUGGUGACGGGCACGCAGGGCCUCAUGCUUGCCCCGGAGCUGCAUUUUCUCAGCCCGCUGCAGGCCUACCGUGUUCCUUGUAAACCAGUCCCGUACAAUGUCGCGGCGGCAUCAGCACCAGCGCCGGCGUCAUCGUCACGGUUUGCGCAGGUGACGGCGAGUGGUAUGGUGGUGUAUCACUCACUGAAGUGACACCUGGUGAAGCAGAGGUGGCUGGUGUUUGGCCACUGUGGUGGUGGCUGAAAACCGGUGGGAGCGCGGAGACGAAGCACAUCAUCUUUCAGAGGGCGAGCCCCUCCGCCCCUCUGCCUCUCCUUCUUCGCCUCAUCGCCUGCAGGAGGAGUCAUCUCCCUUAUGUAAAUGACUGGAACAUUUACGUGAAAUGCGCAUGCGUAUGCAUGUAGGUGUGCCUCUUUUGUGUGCUAUUUUUUUUUUGUAUGUGUGUGGGCUGUUCGAGGGGGAGGGAGGUAGUUUCCUUCUUUGUGUGUGUGUGUGUGUGCGGAAGCUCUUUUUUUUUCGCGUUGGGGGCGUUCGGCUUUUUGUUGUUUCCUGCUCCCCCUCUUCGCCUGCCUCCCCCCCCUCUCUCUCCCUCCUCUUUCCCUCCCUUCCCUCUUUCUAUCCGAUUCUCCCUGCUGCCUGUGUUGUGGUCCGACGCGGACAAGCGUUUCG